Molecule: ribosomal RNA, 479 nt
Filed under: Vishniacozyma victoriae
Lineage: Eukaryota; Fungi; Basidiomycota; Tremellomycetes; Tremellales; Bulleribasidiaceae
Description: eukaryotic LSU rRNA
Rfam family: 5.8S ribosomal RNA (bases 130-283)
Source: RNAcentral
GCCAUNNAGCAAUCAUUGGGGUUAGAUCUGCCCUUAUCGCAAGAUGAGGGCUUCCAUAUACACCGNUGAACUGUUGGCUUCGGCCAUCACAAACUGUUAGUAAUGAAUGUAAUAUCAUAACAAAAACAAAACUUUUAACAACGGAUCUCUUGGCUCUCGCAUCGAUGAAGAACGCAGCGAAAUGCGAUAAGUAAUGUGAAUUGCAGAAUUCAGUGAAUCAUCGAAUCUUUGAACGCACCUUGCGCCCUUUGGUAUUCCGAAGGGCAUGCCUGUUUGAGUGUCAUGAAACCUCACCCCACUUAGGUUUUUGCCUAAGCGGUGGUGUAUUGGGUGUUUGCCUUGCUAAAGGCUCGCCUUAAAGAUAUAAGCACCUUGGAUGUAAUACGUUUCAUCCUUCUGGGUGGCUGAUAACCCCACAUAUUCAUGAUCUGGCCUCAAAUCAGGUAGGGCUACCCGCUGAACUUAAGCAUAUCAAUAAG